AGCAGAAACAACCCCAGUGGCGGCUGCAGCUCUGGAGCCCUGGAGUCAGCUCCUGCAGUAACUACAGAGCUCUGGGUCUGCAGGGCCUGGAGGCUCUGGGGCGGG
Molecule: microRNA precursor, 105 nt
Filed under: Canis lupus familiaris (dog)
Lineage: Eukaryota; Metazoa; Chordata; Mammalia; Carnivora; Canidae
Description: mir-8834 microRNA precursor family
Rfam family: mir-8834 microRNA precursor family
Source: Rfam by way of RNAcentral